GCUUGUCUCAAAGAUUAAGCCAUGCAUGUCUAAGUAUAAGCUUUUAUACGGUGAAACUGCGAAUGGCUCAUUAAAACAGUUAUAGUUUAUUUGAUGGUCACUCACUACUUGGAUAACCGUGGUAAUUCUAGAGCUAAUACAUGCGUCAAGACCCGACUUUUUGGAAGGGUUGUAUUUAUUAGAUAAAGAACCAAUCCAUGCUUGCAUGGUUUUGUGGUGAUUCAUAAUAACUGAUCGAAUCGCAUGCCUUCGGAUCGAUUUAUCGAUGCAUCAUUCAAGUUUCUGCCCUAUCAGCUUUGGAUGGUAGGGUAUUGGCCUACCAUGGCUUUAACGGGUAACGGAGAAUUAGGGUUCGAUUCCGGAGAGGGAGCCUGAGAAAUGGCUACCACAUCCAAGGAAGGCAGCAGG
RNAcentral lists this ribosomal RNA (408 nucleotides) under uncultured Colpodella. Its description in RNAcentral is "partial small subunit ribosomal RNA". It matches the Rfam family "Eukaryotic small subunit ribosomal RNA", at positions 30 to 432 of the family's 1831-position model. Lineage: Eukaryota; Colpodellaceae. The record is from RNAcentral.